AUUGAACGCUGGCGGCAGGCCUAACACAUGCAAGUCGAGCGGAUGAAGGGAGCUUGCUCCUGGAUUCAGCGGCGGACGGGCGAGUAAUGCCUAGGAAUCUGCCUGGUAGUGGGGGAUAACGUCCGGUAACGGGCGCUAAUACCGCAUACGUCCUGAUGGUGAAAGUGGGGGAUCUUUGGACCUCACGCUAUCAGAUGAGCCUAGGUCGGAUUAGCUAGUUGGUGGGGUAAAGGCCUACCAAGGCGACGAUCCGUAACUGGUCUGAGAGGAUGAUCAGUCACACUGGAACUGAGACACGGUCCAGACUCCUACGGGAGGCAGCAGUGGGGAAUAUUGGACAAUGGGCGAAAGCCCGAUCGAGCCAUGCCGCGUGUGUGAAGAAGGUCUUCGGAUUGUAAAGCACUUUAAGUUGGGAGGAAGGGCAGUAAGUUAAUACCUUGCUGUUUUGACGUUACCAACAGAAUAAGCACCGGCUAACUUCGUG
This 484-nucleotide ribosomal RNA is filed under the name uncultured bacterium. Its description in RNAcentral is "partial 16S ribosomal RNA". It matches the Rfam family "Bacterial small subunit ribosomal RNA", at positions 30 to 507 of the family's 1533-position model. The record is from RNAcentral.